GUGAGGAAUAUUGGUCAAUGGACGAGAGUCUGAACCAGCCAAGUCGCGUGAAGGAAGACGGUUCUAUGAAUUGUAAACUUCUUUUGUGCAGGAAUAAAGUGGGUUACGUGUAACCUUUUGUAUGUACUGUACGAAUAAGGAUCGGCUAACUCCGUGCCAGAAGCCGCGGUAAUACGGAGGAUCCGAGCGUUAUCCGGAUUUAUUGGGUUUAAAGGGUGCGUAGGUGGAUUGAUAAGUCAGCGGUGAAAGUUUGCAGCUUAACUGUAAAAUUGCCGUUGAAACUGUCGGUCUUGAGUGCAAAUGAGGUAGGCGGAAUGUGUUGUGUAGCGGUGAAAUGCUUAGAUAUAACACAGAACUCCGAUUGCGAAGGCAGCUUACUGGGAUGCAACUGACACUGAUGCACGAAAGCGUGGGUAUCAAACAGGAUUAGAAACCCUGGUAGUCC
This 445-nucleotide ribosomal RNA is filed under the name uncultured bacterium. RNAcentral describes it as "partial 16S ribosomal RNA". It matches the Rfam family "Bacterial small subunit ribosomal RNA", at positions 354 to 796 of the family's 1533-position model. The record is from RNAcentral.